GAUGAACGCUGGCGGCGUGCCUAAUACAUGCAAGUCGAGCGAACAGACGAGGAGCUUGCUCCUCUGACGUUAGCGGCGGACGGGUGAGUAACACGUGGAUAACCUACCUAUAAGACUGGGAUAACUUCGGGAAACCGGCGCUAAUACCGGAUAAUAUAUUGAACCGCAUGGUUCAAUAGUGAAAGACGGUUUUGCUGUCACUUAUAGAUGGAUCCGCGCCGCAUUAGCUAGUUGGUAAGGUAACGGCUUACCAAGGCAACGAUGCGUAGCCGACCUGAGAGGGUGAUCAGCCACACGGGAACUGAGACACGGUCCAGACUCCUACGGGAGGCAGCAGUAGGGAAUCUUCCGCAAUGGGCGAAAGCUUGACGGAGCAACGCCGCGUGAGUGAUGAAGGUCUUCGGAUCGUAAAACUCUGUUAUUAGGGAAGAACAAAUGUGUAAGUAACUAUGCACGUCUUGACGGUACCUAAUCAGAAAGCCACGGCUAACUACGUG
Molecule: ribosomal RNA, 497 nt
Filed under: uncultured bacterium
Lineage: Bacteria
Description: partial 16S ribosomal RNA
Rfam family: Bacterial small subunit ribosomal RNA
Source: RNAcentral